Molecule: long non-coding RNA, 1786 nt
Organism: Triticum dicoccoides
Lineage: Eukaryota; Viridiplantae; Streptophyta; Magnoliopsida; Poales; Poaceae
Exons: 5
Source: RefSeq, a predicted model, not a curated record
CUGCUGCGGCGGCACGUGAGGGCUGGCGCGGAUCUGGGCAUGGCAGCGCGAAGUGGCCGUUUCUCUGGCUCGAUCUGCUGCUACGGUGUCCAGGCGGCCGGAAGGAGAUGGUCGGUGGUUGGAGGGGCUGUAGGCGCGCUGGUCUUACACGGUGAGGGUUGGCGAGGUGGGCUACUCGGGUCCACUGGUUGGAUGGUUAAGGUUGCCGGCGAAAGCUGAACUCCGGCAGUGGCCGGAGUUGUCGAUGGCAGCACCGGCAGGCCGUUUCCUUGCUGAAGCAGCCAGACAUGCCCAUCCGGCCGGAAAGGAAUCGGCAAGCUGCAGAUUGAUCAAGCUAAGUAAUUUUCUUAUCUUUGUUUGCACGGCCAGAUAGCACGCCUUCUUGCUGAUUACUUCUUCCCGUACACUCACGUGAAACAACAUAGAUUCACUAAUUGAUUUCGGCCAGAUGCGCUAAUACAGAAAGUUAGCUCGAUUAGUUAAUCUCCAGCUAUUUGGGCCUAAUAUUUUUUUGAUCUGGUCAAGUUCACACUGGGUUCUUAUUUUCAUAAGGCCAAAUGGUGUUCAUCAAUGCUUGGACAUGAACUCUGUUGUCAUCCUAUUUUAACAAUAUUAGGCCCAAAUUUGAUGUAUUUUCAUAACGCUGAGCUCUGUUGUCAUCCUAUUUUCUACAAUCUUAUGCUAUUCUUUUUCUUCCAUUCGUUUGCUUAACAUUAUAUUCUCUGUAGAUAUGUCAAAUUUGAUGUGUUUGAAAGAUGACUAAGAGUAGCAGUACUGUCGUAUGGCCGGCUUAAUUAAUAUUCCAACCACCAAUCGUGGCUACUAACUACCAAGAAAAGCAGUCAUAUGUGUACCUUUACUAAGAGUAGCAGUUCCUGAAGUUUAUAUAUUGCAGACUGCGGUGUGGUGGUCAAUAAAUCAUGUCAAAUGUUGUAGGGUGCUCGAAGUAAUGAGUUUGCUGCUGCUUCAAGCCAAGUGCACCUCUGUAGUCUUGCUGAAGAAAGAGGAGGAGAAGUUGAACGUAUAAGGUGUCGUGGCUGGAGGCCACAUGGACCCCACCUCCGCCGCAGGGGCGACGUGUAUUUCCUCUUGCUUCACCGCCUUAUAGCCAAGCAGACCAGGAGUGACCUCCUCUCCUACUACACCAGCAGCCUUCACUGGCUCUGGAGACAUGCUGGCCAUUGACGCUCCGACGCCGAUGAGUAAUCAGUUCCAUCAUUGACAUAUAACCUGACAAGUUGUUGGGCGGGAUGGGUUCCGUUGGCGUUGUGGUCCAGACACAAUAAUUCUUUGAAGCAGCGCCGUAGUGGAAUGAUGUAAAAAAAGUGUGAUGUGCCACAAUUUGGAUGUAAUGAUUUCUAGCUGCUAUGAGGAACGAAGCUUAAUCGGUGACUGCACUCUUUUUAACCAAGCUUCAGUCUAAGGUAAAUGAUACCACAUAUUAUGCCUCCUCUUUUUAAUCUUCUAUUUCUCAUGCUGAAGUGUUGCUAUUAAUACUUGUAUGUUAAUUUAGCUAUUGGAAUCCUUCAUCAUCUUCCUGUUUGGUUUAGUAAUUAUUUGGGAGAUAAUCACUUUGGGGUUUCAGGCACCUUGGUAUGCACAUGGCAAUGCAGAGCCCAAGAAUAUGAUUCUGGACAGUAACCUGUAGUUUCAUCAACCAUACUUCUGGUCAUACUACUGUACCUACAAUCACUCUCAUUCAAUUUUUUUUAGAGGAACUGCAUUUCACCGAUCUGGACAUUCAGUUAAGGAAUUUGAAAGGUUCAGGUCAUACAUGAUUGAUAUG